UCAAACUUGGUCAUUUAGAGGAAGUAAAAGUCGUAACAAGGUUUCCGUAGGUGAACCUGCGGAAGGAUCAUUAUUGAAUAAACUUGGUUGGGGCUGUUGCUGGCUCUCAGGGGCAAUGUGCACGCUCACACCAUCUUUUAACCACCUGUGCACCUUGUGUAGAUCUCUAAGGGUUACCCCUUCAAGAUCUAUGUUUUUAUUAUACCCUAUACAAAUGUAAUAGAACGGUUGAAUGGGGCCCUCGUGCCUUUAAAAUAAAACAACUUUCAACAACGGAUCUCUUGGCUCUCGCAUCGAUGAAGAACGCAGC
Molecule: unclassified non-coding RNA, 310 nt
Filed under: uncultured fungus
Lineage: Eukaryota; Fungi
Description: partial contains small subunit ribosomal RNA, internal transcribed spacer 1, and 5.8S ribosomal RNA
Rfam family: Eukaryotic small subunit ribosomal RNA (bases 1-73)
Source: RNAcentral